GUAGGUGGCAAGCGUUGUCCGGAAUUAUUGGGCGUAAAGCGCGCGCAGGCGGUUCUUUAAGUCUGGUGUGAAAGCCCACGGCUCAACCGUGGAGGGUCAUUGGAAACUGGAGAACUUGAGUACAGAAGAGGAAAGCGGAAUUCCACGUGUAGCGGUGAAAUGCGUAGAGAUGUGGAGGAACACCAGUGGCGAAGGCGGCUUUCUGGCCUGUAACUGACGCUGAGGCGCGAAAGCGUGGGGAGCAAACAGGAUUAGAUACCCUGGUAGUCCACGCCGUAAACGAUGAGUGCUAAGUGUUAGGGGGGUUUCCGCCCCCCUUAGUGCUGCAGCUAACGCAUUAAGCACUCCGCCUGGGAGUACGGCCGCAAGGCUG
This 373-nucleotide ribosomal RNA is filed under the name uncultured organism. RNAcentral's name for it is "partial 16S ribosomal RNA". It matches the Rfam family "Bacterial small subunit ribosomal RNA", at positions 527 to 896 of the family's 1533-position model. The record is from RNAcentral.